CAAGCCCUGGAAACGGGGUCUAAUACCGGAUACGAUCACCGGCCGCAUGGUCUGGUGGUGGAAAGCUCCGGCGGUGCAGGAUGAGCCCGCGGCCUAUCAGCUUGUUGGUGGGGUGAUGGCCUACCAAGGCGACGACGGGUAGCCGGCCUGAGAGGGCGACCGGCCACACUGGGACUGAGACACGGCCCAGACUCCUACGGGAGGCAGCAGUGGGGAAUAUUGCACAAUGGGCGAAAGCCUGAUGCAGCGACGCCGCGUGAGGGAUGACGGCCUUCGGGUUGUAAACCUCUUUCAGCAGGGAAGAAGCUUUCGGGUGACGGUACCUGCAGAAGAAGCACCGGCUAACUACGAGCCAGCAGCCGCGGUAAUACGUAGGGUGCGAGCGUUGUCCGGAAUUAUUGGGCGUAAAGAGCUCGUAGGCGGCGUGUCACGUCGGAUGUGAAAGCCCGGGGCUUAACCCCGGGUCUGCAUUCGAUACGGGCAGGCUAGAGUUCGGUAGGGGAGAUCGGAAUUCCUGGUGC
This 521-nucleotide ribosomal RNA is filed under the name uncultured Streptomyces sp. RNAcentral's name for it is "bacterial SSU rRNA". It matches the Rfam family "Bacterial small subunit ribosomal RNA", at positions 144 to 676 of the family's 1533-position model. The record is from RNAcentral. Lineage: Bacteria; Bacillati; Actinomycetota; Actinomycetes; Kitasatosporales; Streptomycetaceae.